Molecule: long non-coding RNA, 672 nt
Organism: Mustela erminea (ermine)
Lineage: Eukaryota; Metazoa; Chordata; Mammalia; Carnivora; Mustelidae
Exons: 2
Source: RefSeq, a predicted model, not a curated record
CACCUCAGGCUCAGACCACAGAUACCCAACUCGGCAGCGGGAGCAUCAGGGGCCAGGCCUAGUUCUACUUGUGGAGUGGGGUCAAGAUGUUCUUCUUAUAGUAAAGGUUCAGGAGUAACUGUGACGCCCAGGACUCCUGACUUUUGGACCCUUCAGAAAAAGGUGAAGAAAAGAAAUGAGCGAUUUAAUUCAAACAAAGACCCAGGAAACACCAGCUUCAUUACUUGAAAUUCUGUCUUCCUUUUUAUUAGGUGGGGCUUUUCCUGAUGCUGGGCUAUUGCCUUAAAAGUCAUACCUGUUAUAGUUGAGCAUGAUUGGAAAGCUGUGAAAGGUACCUACGAUGGCAAGAAAGGGCAGAAGGAAGAUUUGACAAAGUCAUGUUUGAAGUCAGGUAAUGGAAACAGAAUGUUUUGAGGUUAAUCUUCCCAGAGUUCUGAUGCCCACAUCACUGAUUGUCCUUUGCUUCUAGCCUUUGCUUCUCACCUUGCUGACUGGUUCUGCACUCACCCACGUCCUCGUCAUCACCAAUGUCCUUGUCGUGGGAGAGGCAUCCGUCUUCAUCAGACAGAGGCUCAUCUCUAAUCUAGAGCAACAAAUUGGUCACAAACAGAAAGUGGUUAACUUAGUUAAAAUUACCACAACGGCCUCCAGAAACUGACAGAAGCAAAAAAA